UUUAUCAAGAGAGGUGGAGGGACUGGCCCUUUGAAGCCCGGCAACCAGUAUUUGUGAAUAAUACAUUGGUGCUAAAUCCUGCAGUAUAGAACUGAAAGAUGAGG
This 104-nucleotide non-coding RNA is filed under the name uncultured Clostridium sp. RNAcentral describes it as "SAM riboswitch (S box leader)". It matches the Rfam family "SAM riboswitch aptamer (S box leader)". From Rfam's summary of the family: The SAM riboswitch is found upstream of a number of genes which code for proteins involved in methionine or cysteine biosynthesis in Gram-positive bacteria. The SAM riboswitch acts at the level of transcription termination control. The record is from RNAcentral. Lineage: Bacteria; Bacillati; Bacillota; Clostridia; Eubacteriales; Clostridiaceae.